UAUAAAAUAACUUGAAGUUUCAUUUUAUCAUGUUUGCAGAUUUUAUUUACAUUUCAUCUCCACAUUCCAAUUGUAUGCACAUAUGCAAUACCCACUGUUACUGGUUCCUUUCUUAACGAAAAUUAUCGCCGCAUACUAAAAAAUAUUUAAUUUGUUUAUUGUGACUGUAAAUUAAUUUGUGUUUUUAGAUCUUUUAUCGGGUUUCUUCAGGACGGGCUUGAUGACACUUCGAUUGUUUACAGAAUAUAUCUAUAGUUAAAUUAUUUAAACAACAUUAGCAAGUCCAACCUAUAAUAAGGAAAAUAAGCUCACUCUGGAAGUUCUACUGGUUUGGCCGAUAAUGUUUUUAGCAACAUGUAACAGCGUUUACUAUUGAAUUUGUUUAAAUUUCUUAAAUA
Non-coding RNA from Schizosaccharomyces pombe (fission yeast), 398 nucleotides. NCBI's taxonomy places the organism in Eukaryota, Fungi, Ascomycota, Schizosaccharomycetes, Schizosaccharomycetales, Schizosaccharomycetaceae. The record is from the annotation of a GenBank genome assembly.